GGUUAAGCGACUAAGCGUACACGGUGGAUGCCCUGGCAGUCAGAGGCGAUGAAGGACGUGCUAAUCUGCGAUAAGCGUCGGUAAGGUGAUAUGAACCGUUAUAACCGGCGAUUUCCGAAUGGGGAAACCCAGUGUGAUUCGUCACACUAUCAUUAACUGAAUCCAUAGGUUAAUGAGGCGAACCGGGGGAACUGAAACAUCUAAGUACCCCGAGGAAAAGAAAUCAACCGAGAUUCCCCCAGUAGCGGCGAGCGAACGGGGAGCAGCCCAGAGCCUGAAUCAGUGUGUGUGUUAGUGGAAGCGUCUGGAAAGGCGCGCGAUACAGGGUGACAGCCCCGUACACAAAAAUGCACAUGCUGUGAGCUCGAUGAGUAGGGCGGGACACGUGGUAUCCUGUCUGAAUAUGGGGGGACCAUCCUCCAAGGCUAAAUACUCCUGACUGACCGAUAGUGAACCAGUACCGUGAGGGAAAGGCGAAAAGAACCCCGGCGAGGGGAGUGAAAAAGAACCUGAAACCGUGUACGUACAAGCAGUGGGAGCACGCUUAGGCG
Molecule: ribosomal RNA, 551 nt
Filed under: Escherichia coli
Lineage: Bacteria; Pseudomonadati; Pseudomonadota; Gammaproteobacteria; Enterobacterales; Enterobacteriaceae
Description: partial 23S ribosomal RNA
Rfam family: Bacterial large subunit ribosomal RNA
Source: RNAcentral